GAUAAACGCUGGCGGCGUGCCUUACGCAUGCAAGUCGAACGCACCCUUCGGGUGAGUGGCGGACGGGUGAGUAACACGUACGUGAUCUGUCCCGAACGUGGGGGAUAACCGACCCGAAAGGGUGGCUAAUACCGCAUGUCGGUCCCCGGUUUGCGAACCGGGGAGUAAAGCUCCGGCGGUUCGGGAGGAGCGUGCGGCCGAUUAGCUAGUUGGUGGGGUAACGGCCUACCAAGGCAGCGAUCGGUAGCUGGUCU
Molecule: ribosomal RNA, 254 nt
Filed under: uncultured bacterium
Lineage: Bacteria
Description: partial 16S ribosomal RNA
Rfam family: Bacterial small subunit ribosomal RNA
Source: RNAcentral